RNAcentral lists this long non-coding RNA (3703 nucleotides) under Sus scrofa (pig). Its description in RNAcentral is "lncRNA (ENSSSCG00050010296.1)". Lineage: Eukaryota; Metazoa; Chordata; Mammalia; Artiodactyla; Suidae. The record is from RNAcentral.
GUUGAUAUCUUCAGCUCAAUAUACAUAUAGUCCCACUUCAACUUCCAAAUUUUGCCCUUUGGGAAUGGAAAAACAGAGGGACAAAUUGCUAGGUGAUAUGUUAUUGUUUCUUUAUUUACAUAGGGAAAAGUUUUGCAAUUACAGUUCAGAAAAUAAUUAAAAUCUCAGCCAAGGAUCUUUCUUUUCAACACGGGGGAAAGGUGAUUUAUUUUUUCAGUUCCUUUUUAAGUUGAUGGUUUUAGGAUCCAAUAACUGUAAUUACAACAGUAAAAUUUCAUUUUGUAAUUCAAUUCUGGGAUGUCCUUAGCUAGAAAUACACAUGAUGACUAGAAAAAUGUAACACUUAUCAGGUAAAAUUAUCCAGAUAUUUUUUAAAAGGCCAAACAUAAAUCCAUAACAAUCCUGGCAUUGAGCUAAGCUUAAAUGAUAGUUAGGUUAUGGUGCGUAUAUGUCACUCUCUUGUAAGGAAACAAAGGUGUUCUUAUAUUUAUCUGAAUCUGUCUCCUUCAACCACCUUUUCCAUCUUCAUUCAAGCCAAUUAUAAAAAUAAGGCAAUUAUUGAGCCCAAUAUUCACUGAUAGCCAAGCAGGAAGCUUUUUGGGUGUGAACCAGCUUUUGGGGAUGACUCAUUGGAAGCCAAAUGUUUAUAUGGAAAUUUCUCCCUAAAAUGGUACAAAAGCAAAUAUUUAUAAACAUGUUAAAAAAGCAUUGUGGAACUCUUGGGAGGAGGGGCGAAAAUACUGCCACCCAUUCCUAAUUACACCAUUUUGAUAAAAAUUGCUUUGCUACCUACCAUGGAGGCUGGCCCAGGCCUUAAGCCUUUCAGUAACAGGGUUGCUAUAUAGUUGUGAGUCAACUGUCCCGACUCACAAUAUGUCUUAUUUAGAAAUGUGACUCUGUUUGGAUAAUCUCAACCCAAUUUGUAUUUUGAAUGCAUUGAAAAUUCAUGUGCUACUUGUGAAAAUUUUGAGUUUCCUAUAGGUAGCUUUCUCAAUUGCAAUCUAUACAAAUAGAGGUCACAAGAAAGGUGGUUAAAAAUGGAAAUUUGUUUCUUACUGAGCAAUUUUACCCCAAAUGGUGUAGGCAUUUUAUUUAAAUUCUGCACCAUGAUGUUGACUAUUGUUUUAAAUGCUCUUUUUUUACCCCUCAUUCUGACAGAAAUUUUUGGCAUUUACCAGGUUCCUGCUUAGACUGACCAGGCCCUAGAUCCCAUGACUAAGGAGAUGGGGCCUAUGGAAAGUUAGCUCCUGUUACAAGCUGUCUUGGCAGUCAAGGUGAUGGUGGGUGGAAGGCGGGUGUUUUUCUAUCUGGUCCUGAAUUGAAAAGGGACCAGGGGAUCAGGAGGUGAUCCAGACAAGCUUAACCAAGCUGCCUGCCCUUAUGAUCCCUAUUAGGGUUCCUAGGUUUGUUGGCAUAUUUUAAAAAGAAUACUGAGCCAGCCAGGUGUUGAUGAUUGAACUCGUUGAGCUAAUAAACACCAGAACUUUUUUAGAAUUUUGUCUUGCAUCCAAGAAAUCAAUGGAAAGUACUUAGAACAGGGACCCAAAAAGAUGCAAAUACUAAGGCUAGUAUCAAGAAGAGAUAAUUUCAUUUUGAUUUCCAUACUUGGGACUGGUGUUAUCUAUUUCUAUAACAAAAACAUCCUGACCAGAUAAGUAUAUGGUAUGGACUAUAUUUAUAGAUAUAGCUCCUGCUUCCUUUAGCCAAGAUCACAAGAAAACAAGUUCUCUAGAUAAAUAAAUUUCCUAGAUUGCUGGAUCUUCCUGUUAACUACCAAAACAUUAAAAAAACAAAACAACAACAACAACAAAAACAGAAAAUGGAAGGGUCUCUGUCAAGUAUGAUUAAAGGGAGAGGGCCAGAUAAGUGAAAUUUAUACUUCUCUGUUUUAAUUCUUUUUUAUAAGGAAUGAAUUUUAAAAUAACUAAUAUGUACUAUUUUUAAAAAUUCACUUGAAAAUAUCUCUAUAUAAAUAAAUGAGUUAUGUACUUCUGAUCUCUCAAACUGAGCCAAAAUGAGUUUUCUUUUGAUGGUUCAUUAUCAUCAUUAUAAAACUCAAUUCUUCUCUCUGCCACAAAACAAUGAUACCCUCAAGUAGUCCUAUAGUGUUCUAAAUGGUUCAUUCCUACACUAAAUGUCCUCAGAGUUUUAAUUUACUCCUCACAAAUUUUCUGUAGUCUGCUUUGAUAUGAGAUUGUCAGCUGUCAUUUCACACUGACAGAAUUCCACCUAUCUUUAACAGCCUCUCAUUCAAAUUUGUUGUUUUAACUUGAUGCUGCCAAUCAGCUGACUGGUUGGUAAGUCACACAAAACUUUGUUAAUAGUCUACAUAAAAUAAAGUUAAAUGGGCAUAGUGUGAAUGCCCAAGGAUCAUUUCUAUGAGCAAUGCAUAUUUUUAAGAAAAGCUUUAGCACAUUUCUUUGGAGGUUUUAAUCUCAUCCUUUCUACUUAUAUCUCAGCUAUGUUUCAGACAGUGGGUGCCACUGGAUAAGAGUUAUGUGUAAGUUAAAUGAGGCUCUGCUGUCAUUUAAUAAAAUGAGUUGCAUCAUUUCUUCCUUCCCUCGUGAAAUUGCUCAGUGGUGGUACAGAUGGAUACCUGUAUAGGAGUACAAAAUUUGCCACCAUAAAAUAUCUCUGGCAUAAGGAUUAUUUCAAGCUGAAAACAAUCAAGGCCCAAAAGACUCAGGAAGAAACUCUGAUCUGCUCCCUAACUGUCUGAAGAAUUUAGGUAGAGGACCUGUUGUAGGAACAGAGCUAUUAUUAGAGGUAUCUGCAAAGAAUAUGGGCUGGGUCCAGCGGAAGGAACUCAAAGAGAUCAGACUUUAUUCUGCAUGGCCCAGCAAACAUUUAUUUGCCAAACAUUUGCUUUUCCAGCUCCAUGUGAGAUGCCUUUCUCCCCUCUGAAGUCACAAACCACUUGUGACUCUCUCUUUUGGGCACUCUCUUUUUUCUAGAAUAAUACUUAGAAAUAAUUACCAGCAUUUGGAUAACCAAGGAUUCAUUUAUAGUAAAUGUUCUCAGGUGUGAUAAAUAUAUAUUUGGUCUUUGUUACUGGUUCCUGACACACAGCUUCUAAAACUCUUAGAAUUUCUUGAAUAGGGUGAUAGGAGAAUCUCUUGUUAUUUAUAAUAAGCCUCUUUCAUUCAUACCUGAAUUGUAUAUGUUAAUGACAUAACUCUUGGUAGGCCUCUAGAUAGCUUCAGGAUGAGGGAUGGUUGUGAGGAAACAACCCUGUGAUUAGAGAGUUAGAAUUUUCAGACCCAUCCCACUGACCUCCAAGAAGAGAGGGACUGGAAUUUAUUUAAAUACCAGUGUUCAAUGAAUUAAUCAUCAUGCCCAUGUAUGAAACUUCCAUAAAAGCCCCUAAAUGUUCAGAUUCAGAGAGGUUUGCUGAUUGGUGAUCACAUCAAGGUGCGAGGAUUAGGUAUGCCUAGAGAGUUCUGUGCCACUCUCCCCACCAUCACGUUAUUCUUUGUCCAAUGCACCUCUUCCAUUUGGCUCUUUCUGAGUUGUAUCUUUUGUAAUAAACAGGUAAUAGUAAGUAAACCAUUUCUGAGUUCUGUGAGCUGUUCUAAUAAAUUACGGAACCUUCAGAGGGGAGGUCACAUGAACCCCAAAUUAUAGCCUAUUGAUCAGAGAAGUACAGGUGGCCUGGGACUUGAGAUUGUUGUCUGUGAAGUGGGGGAAAUCUUAUAGGAAUGAU